This 339-nucleotide ribosomal RNA is filed under the name Triticum aestivum (bread wheat). Its description in RNAcentral is "partial small subunit ribosomal RNA". The record is from RNAcentral. Lineage: Eukaryota; Viridiplantae; Streptophyta; Magnoliopsida; Poales; Poaceae.
AUGGGCAGCUCUCAAUGGCGGCAGCACCCCCAUAUUGCUGGAACGCCCUUUGCCGCCUCAGGCAUUGGUCCACAACCCUUAGCCUCGGCGUGUCCCCUUUUGACGCACCCGGUGCUACCAACAUGCCCUCGGCAUCCCUGCUCUCCCCCAUUGAUUUCUUCAAAGUUCGUAUCUGCCCCACGAGCGCAUCCCUCAGGCAUCGGAAGUGGCGUGACAUGGCACGCAUCGCCAGCUUCGUGUACACUUGUGCUGCCCCCGUGCCGGCCACCGCCUCGAACGACAACUCUGUCGCCCGCAUUUUCUCACGGUAUCGUCGGUAGCACCUGUCCACCUUCAUAA